This 1181-nucleotide long non-coding RNA is filed under the name Sus scrofa (pig). RNAcentral's name for it is "lncRNA (ENSSSCG00005042722.1)". Lineage: Eukaryota; Metazoa; Chordata; Mammalia; Artiodactyla; Suidae. The record is from RNAcentral.
GUGUGUGUCAGGUCUGGGGUGAAGACCGCAUUUCCCCACUGCACCUUGAAGCUUCCCAGGCCGCUCGAUGUCACAAGCCACACUCCCAGGACCUCCAGACAAGGCCAUAUGACACUCCGGGUGUUCAGCUGCAAAUAGAAAUGUCCAAUGUAUUAGAAGGGGGCUAGCGGGCAUCAUCUGGCUGUGCAUUCCUGUAGCCACUCCUCCAGGAUGGCUCUGGACGUCGGGGAGGGCAUGCGACACCCACUCCACAGGACUGCUUAGUGACUGUCAUGCUGGUGUUGGUCCAAGUGAUUAUUUUCCUGCCAAGACUCUGGCCCAGAAGCCCAGCUCCUACACAUUGGAAAUGAUUCAGCCAAGCAACUGCCCUGCAUGUAACAAGGGCGGACAACUAAGUGGGAGAAAGUCACGGUCAGCACACAAAUCUUGUUAAAAGACACAGGAUCCAGACGCCAGGAAAAACAUAAAGGGCCACAUAAAAAAAAAAAAAAAAGCAAUUUUUUGCAUGUUAAAAAAACCUAUAAAAUCAAAAGAAAAGUUGCAAGUUGGGAGAAAUAACAACAUCUGAGUCACCCUGCCUCGGUGAGGAUGUGGAAAACGUACUUGUGUUUGGUGGGCAAAGAGCCCUUUCUGCAGGGCAGUUAUCUGCAUCAACAUCCAAAGUAUCUUUACCUUGUGACUUAGAGUUAGUGGGAGUUGUGUGCACAGGUGACGCCUGCCCAAGGGCGUCCAGUGUGACUGUCACAGGGGACUGUUCAGAUAGCAGGAAAGAGGACUCUGGCACGCAGGCCCCCUGGCCUGUGCACCAGGCCCGUGGUGUGAAGAUGGUGACGGCCAUUCAGAAGGACGAGUAGGUCCGUAAGUGCCAACGUGGUUCUUCUUAAGAGGCAAAGGCGUAGGACCAGUACAGAACCAGAUGUGGUCAGUGCCGUGUGAGGGGAUGGGUAUGCAUGACACUGAUGUGUGUACACCCUCCACUCUGUCCCCGUCCUCCCCCUGCCCGCCCACAAAUAGCCCCCAAGGAUGAGCUUGCCUUCCUGUCUUGAGUGACACUCCUGGGGAGGGACCUACUUUAUAAGAAGGAAAAUCUACAGGGUCAUUUUUUUUUUUUAAAUUAUUUUUUUUGUCUUUUGUCUUUUUAGGGCCACACCCGUGGCACAUGGAGGUUCUCAGGCUAGGGG